ACACUUAACGCAGAAGUGAGAUACCAUGAUCUCAAUGGUGAUUUCUCCGGGGCAAGUCUUGUCCAUUACAUUUAACUUCACUCCGGAUGUUCUGUCCCCAAAUGUGGGCAAUGUGACUGUAUAAUUUGUGGUAGUGGGGGACUGUGUUCAUGCUCUCCCCUA
Molecule: small nuclear RNA, 162 nt
Organism: Sorex araneus (European shrew)
Lineage: Eukaryota; Metazoa; Chordata; Mammalia; Eulipotyphla; Soricidae
Gene: U1
Rfam family: U1 spliceosomal RNA
About the family: U1 is a small nuclear RNA (snRNA) component of the spliceosome (involved in pre-mRNA splicing). Its 5' end forms complementary base pairs with the 5' splice junction, thus defining the 5' donor site of an intron. There are significant differences in sequence and secondary structure between metazoan and yeast U1 snRNAs, the latter being much longer (568 nucleotides as compared to 164 nucleotides in human).
Source: Ensembl